This 373-nucleotide ribosomal RNA is filed under the name uncultured organism. Its description in RNAcentral is "partial 16S ribosomal RNA". It matches the Rfam family "Bacterial small subunit ribosomal RNA", at positions 527 to 896 of the family's 1533-position model. The record is from RNAcentral.
GUAGGUGGCAAGCGUUGUCCGGAAUUAUUGGGCGUAAAGCGCGCGCAGGCGGUUCUUUAAGUCUGAUGUGAAAGCCCACGGCUCAACCGUGGAGGGUCAUUGGGAACUGGAGAACUUGAGUACAGAAGAGGAAAGCGGAAUUCCACGUGUAGCGGUGAAAUGCGUAGAGAUGUGGAGGAACACCAGUGGCGAAGGCGGCUUUCUGGUCUGUAACUGACGCUGAGGCGCGAAAGCGUGGGGAGCAAACAGGAUUAGAUACCCUGGUAGUCCACGCCGUAAACGAUGAGUGCUAAGUGUUAGGGGGGUUUCCGCCCCCCUUAGUGCUGCAGCUAACGCAUUAAGCACUCCGCCUGGGAGUACGGCCGCAAGGCUG